Molecule: ribosomal RNA, 451 nt
Filed under: uncultured bacterium
Lineage: Bacteria
Description: partial 16S ribosomal RNA
Rfam family: Bacterial small subunit ribosomal RNA
Source: RNAcentral
GUGGGGAAUAUUGGACAAUGGGGGCAACCCUGAUCCAGCCAUGCCGCGUGUGUGAAGAAGGCCUUUUGGUUGUAAAGCACUUUAAGCAGGGAGGAGAGGCUAAUGGUUAAUACCCAUUAGAUUAGACGUUACCUGCAGAAUAAGCACCGGCUAACCCUGUGCCAGCAGCCGCGGUAAUACAGAGGGUGCGAGCGUUAAUCGGAAUUACUGGGCGUAAAGCGAGUGUAGGUGGCUCAUUAAGUCACAUGUGAAAUCCCCGGGCUUAACCUGGGAACGGCAUGUGAUACUGGUGGUGCUAGAAUAUGUGAGAGGGAAGUAGAAUUCCAGGUGUAGCGGUGAAAUGCGUAGAGAUCUGGAGGAAUACCGAUGGCGAAGGCAGCUUCCUGGCAUAAUAUUGACACUGAGAUUCGAAAGCGUGGGUAGCAAACAGGAUUAGAAACCCGUGUAGUCC